AGAGCUUCAAAACAGCCCGGCGGCCUCGCCUUGCACCCCCAGCCAGUCCGUCGAUCCAGCAGCCAGCGCAGCCGCCAGCGCCGGCACAUCCCACUCUGGGCUUUAAACGUGACCCCUCACCUCGCCUCGUCCUGCCCUGUGAAAAUGUUGGUGCUUCUUGCUUUCAUCAUCGCCUUCCACAUCACCUCUGCAGCCUUGCUGUUCGUUGCCACCAUCGACAAUGUAAGUUUCCUUUCCUGCCACUCAUGCAGAACCCUGGGUCCUGGAGUCAAUAGAAGUGGGUUGUAUUGGUCUGUUCUCGUACUGCUAAUAAAGGCAUACCAGAGACUGGGUAAUUUAUAAGGAAAAUGAGGUCUAAUGGACUCACAAUUCCACGUGUCUGGGAGGCCUCUGCAGAAGGCAAAGGAGGAGCAAAGCCAUGUCUUACAUGGCGGCAGGCAAAGAGAGCGUGUGCAGGGGAACUGCCCUUUAUAAAACCGUCAGAUCUCGUGAGACUUACUCACUACCACAAGAACAGUACGGGAUACACUCGCCCCCAUGAUUCAGUUACCUCCCACCAGGUCCCUCCCAUGACAUGUGGGAAUUAUGGGAACUACAAUUUGAGAUUUGGGUGGGGACACAGCCAAACCAUAUCACAGGUUGAGAAUCCUGCCAAGGUUCUCAACGUUGAACCUGCCAAGGUUCAACCACGAUUCAGGGUUGUCCUCCCUGCGAAGGCACACCCAUCUUCUGACCCAAGGGCUGAGGACUCUUGGCCUAAAUGUGAAGGUUCAGGCCGUCCCAUGUUCAAGUUUUGGUGGCAGGUCCUGGCAGGCAGGAACGUUUGUCCUCCCAUCCGUGAUUCUUUCAUAGAGCCUGGCUCUAGGAAGCCCUUUGAGGAUGUUGUGUGACUUCAGCAUUCCUCUGGAUGAGAGUUCUCAACCUUGCCACUAUUGUCGUUUUGGGCUGGCUAAUCCUUUGUUAUGGAGGCCUCCCUGUGCAUUGUAGGAAGUUCAGCAACGUGUCUGGCCUUAUCUGCCAGAUGCAGUAGCACCCCCACCCCUGGUUAUGACAAUCCAAAAUAUCUUCAGACAUUGUCAAAUGUCCCAUGGAGAACAAAAUCACUCUCUGUUGAGGACCGCUGCCCUAGAUCUUCCAGGUGACCCAUCCCAGGUGGCCUCUGCCCCCAACCCCUGACACCUUGUUAUCAACCAGGGUACCUUGCUGCUAGCCCACCUGGCCAUGUCCUCCCCAGCAGAGCUCAUGCAUGGAACUUUCCAGACUCUACCUAUGCCUCUAUGAAAAAUUUAAUGUUUUCCUUUAGUAUCCAGCUUGCAGCCGUAUGGCAGGAGUGUAUUGGAUAAAUAACCUCUUGGCAUAGAUUAAUAUCCCUCCAAGCAGGGAAUGACACCAGGGAAGCUUCUUAACAGCCUAUACACUGUUCCAAAGACCUGGCUUCCAUCCUGCUCAUUUUAGACUGCAGAGAUAAUUAAAGGCAGAAACAUCGCUCAGAAAGCCAAAAAGUACACCAUACGAUUGGUCACCAACUCUGCCUACAUAUACGGCUCCUGUUGAUAUAUCAUCAUGACAAUAAUAACAUAAACGAUAACACCUGUCACUUAGCGAUCACUAUGGCCCUUUUAUGCAUGUCAUCUCAUGUGAUCCCCACCCCAACUGUACCAGGUAGGGCACCAACAUCUCCUUGCACUGGGUUACAGGUGAAGGAACUGAGCCUCAGGGCCAUUCGGGCACUUGGCAGAGUUUAGAGUGCAGUAAGCAGCAGAGCCAGGAUUUGAGCCAUUCCAGAGGCUCCUGGUCCUAGAGCCUGUCAGGGGAGAUGAGCACAGUAAUCGCAUUUGGGUUCUGGAGCUUCUUGCUGAGCUGCUGUGAGUGGCCUGGGCAGGGACCACAUUGAUGCUAUGGAUUAUAGCAGUGGUCCCCAACCUUUUUGGCACCAGGGACCAGUUUCAUGGAAGACAAUUUUUCUACAGAUUGGGGAGGGGGCAUUGCAGGGGGAUGGUUUCAGAAUGAUUCAAGUGCAUUACAUUUAUUGUGCACUUUAUUAUUAUUACAUUGUAAUAUAUAAUGAAAUAAUUAUACAACUCGUCAUAAUGUGGAAUCGGUGGGAGCCCUGAGCUUGUUGUUCUGGACUAGAUGGUCCCAUCUGGAGGUGAUGGGAGACAGUGACAGAUCAUCAGGCAUUAGUCUCAUAAGGAGCGUGCAGUCUAGGUCCCUGGCAUGCACAAUUCACAAUAAGGUUGACACUCUUGUAAGAAGCUAAUGCCCCUGGUGACCUGACAGGAGGCAGAGCUCGGGCAGUAAUGUGAGUGAUGGGGAGCAGCUGUAAAUACAGAUGAAGCUACCUUCACUGGCUGCUCACCUCCUGCUGCGUGGCCUGGUUCCUAACAGGCCACAGACAGGUACCAGUCCAUGGCCCAUGGGUUGGGGAACCCUGGAUUAUAGUAUUUGGACCCACCAUUCCAGGAGCUCACUGUGAAAUAAAUGGGACCAAAUGUUCUUUUAGAAUCUCCUUUUUCUGUUUCUUCCCAUCUAGUCCUUUGGGAUCCUGAAAAGGUCCCAGACUUAGUGAAAAGGAUAGACAGACAUUAGGGGCAGGAAAACCAUCAGCCUUAGUGAAUCGUAUCCAGCACCCCCAGGGCAUGUAUAUUAUCAUGGCACAUACUAAGAAGAUGCAGAUGGACUUUUUGUCCAUCAGUGAGUCUGAGGCUGUUCAUUAUGUGUUUGGAACUGUGCUUGGCAACUGGGAAAUAAAAGGAAGGCCGUCUUGGGCAGUGGGGGAAGGGCAGCAGCCACCAAAGCACAGAGGGAAAUCAAUGCUUUUGGCUGAAGACAGGAGAAUCUUGUCUGGUCAUCCCAUCCAUUGCAGGGUUUGUUUGUUUGUUUGUGACAGGGUCUUUCUCUGUCACCCAGGCUGGAGUGUAAUGUUGCGAUCACAACUCACUGCAGCCUCUACUGCCCAGGCUCAAGCGAUCCUUCCACCUCAGACCCCUGAGUAGCUGGGACUACAGUCGCGCAACACCAUGCCUGACUAAUUUUUUGUAUUUUUUUGUAGAGAUGGGUUGCCCCGGCUGGUCUCAAACUCCUGGGCUCAAGCAAUCCUCCCACCUUGGCCUCCCAAAGUGCUGAAAUUAUAGGCAUGAGCCAGCGUGCCCAGCCCUGACUGCUAUUAUUUCCACCAACUCAGCCUCAUCUUUUCUCCCAUACUCUCUGAGGGCCUGGACCACCUCUUAUCCUUUGGGAGAAAGUAGCAAGGCAUCACCUGGAGCCGGUUGGAAAUGUGGAAUCCCGGCCAGGGGCGGUGGCUCAUGCCUGUAAUCCCAGCACUUUGGGAGGCCAAGGCAGGUGGAUCACCUGAGGUCAGACGUUCGAGACUAGCCCGACCAACAUGGCGAAACCCUGUCUCUACUAAAAAUACAAAAAUUAGCCAGGUAUGGUGGUGCAUGCCCCUAAAUCCCAGCUACUCGUGAGACUGAGGCAGGAGAAUUGCUUGAACCCAGUAUGGGAGGGUUGCAGUGAGCCGAGAUCAUGCAUCGCACUCCAGCCUGGGCAACAAGAAUGAAACUCCAUCUCAAAAAAAACAAAAAAAAG
RNAcentral lists this small RNA (3588 nucleotides) under Pongo abelii (Sumatran orangutan). RNAcentral's name for it is "retained intron". The record is from RNAcentral. Lineage: Eukaryota; Metazoa; Chordata; Mammalia; Primates; Hominidae.